Cygnus olor (mute swan) is the source of this 1094-nucleotide long non-coding RNA. RefSeq lists it as uncharacterized. NCBI's taxonomy places the organism in Eukaryota, Metazoa, Chordata, Aves, Anseriformes, Anatidae. The record is from RefSeq and is a predicted model, not a curated record. The transcript is spliced from 3 exons.
UGACUGACAUACAUGCUUAAUUCAAACUAAAUAGCCUAUAAAACAAGUUCCCUAAGGCUAAUAAUAAUAAUAUCAGGAGAAAUGAAUAUAGGGAUGAUUGAAUACAGGAUACGCUGAAGAGCGAAUAUGGAAUAUAGAUACAUAUCGCGCUAGCAAGAAUGGGCUGGUGUUUAUGGUCUGCUCAAAAGUCCAAUCCAUCAUCUGACCAGAGGAUGUAAUGCAGUUAGAAUCAAAAAGGAUGGCUCUGUUCAAAGCAAUAGAUGCCCAUUAUAAACCAGCAAAUGCAAAUAAUCAAUCAAAAGCAGCAAGCGAGCAAAAGGGGAAUAUCAUCAAGCAAUAAUUCAGAUCACAGCUGUGAUUAUGAGCAAUAACCUUAAAUCUGCUAUUUAAUUAAUAUUAAGCUUCUGACACCUUCUAGGAUGGGAGCACACAGACCUUCUCAGCCUAAUAUGAUGGUAGUAAGACAUAACGUUAUGCUCCUUACAUAUUUAAGGCAGCGAAUUAACCAUUUAUGGAUCCCUCAUCAAAAGCUUUAAGGAGCUCCUGUCCAAGGCUGGUGACUGAAGGGCAGCAUGAAGGUGCUGAGCUCAAGCACCCAGCUUAGCUAAGACAGUCCGAUGUUUUCGGUAACCUCGUGUACCCCUGGAGAAGUGGGCCCACCUGCUCCUGUGGCUUGGAUGGUCAAAUGCUUUUUCCAGGGUUCAUCAAAGGCCCUUCCCUGCCUGGAUGUCCUUGCUGGAAAGACUCGAGCCUGGAGCAUCCCCAGCCGGGAGGAAUGGAGCACCACGAGGGGCGGAUUCGGUUCUGGUGUUGGUCUCAUGGCAAGGAGGGACCAAAAGCAAGCCUAUGGUGUAGCAUCUUGUCAUUCGGCUGUGAGAAAGGUACUGGGAACCCCGGUGUUCACCCAGGCUCCGCAGUCGCUUCUCUGCUGGGUACGUGCUGCUGUGCUUCUGGACAGCCCGCCUGGCACCCUGCUGGGCUUUCCCUCUCUUUCUUAGAGAAACCUUGUCAUCAGCAGUCACUUCUUCCUCCCGUGUCUGCUCACAAUCGGAGAAGAAGCUGUAGUCAUUGUUUUGCCUGCCCUGCAACUUUAU